RNAcentral lists this ribosomal RNA (3381 nucleotides) under Durio zibethinus. RNAcentral describes it as "eukaryotic LSU rRNA". It matches the Rfam family "Eukaryotic large subunit ribosomal RNA". Lineage: Eukaryota; Viridiplantae; Streptophyta; Magnoliopsida; Malvales; Malvaceae. The record is from RNAcentral.
CAUGAUCUAGGUCAGGCAGGAUCACCCGCUGAGUUUAAGCAUAUCAAUAAGCGAAGGAAAAGAAACUUACCAAGAUUCCCCUAGUAACGACGAGCGAAUUGGAAAGAGCACAGCUUGAGAAUCGAGUACCCCUAACAUUCGAAUUAUAGUCUGGAGAAGCGUCCUCAGCGGCAGAGCAGGCGUAAGUCCCCUAGAAAAGGUCGUUGGAAAGGGUGAGAGCCUCGUUGUGCCUAGACCUUGUUGCACCAUAAAGUGCUAUCUGUGAGUCUGGUUGUUUGGGAAUGUAGCCCCAAUCAGGCGAUAAAUUACAUCCAAGGCUGAAUACGGAUGAGAGACUGAUAACAAACAAGUACCAUGAUGGGAAGAUGAAAAGGACUUUGAAAAGAGAGUUAAAGGGUGCUUGAAAUUGUCAGGAAAAAAGUGGAUAGGGGCCGAUGAUGCACCCCAAUCUGAUGCGGAAUGGCGAGAGCCAAUCUAUCGAUCGACUCAGGACGUGGACUGAUGCAGGUCGUAGCGGCGAUGACCCAAGCCUGGGCUUUCGAUGUGCCCAUGGAGAUGUCAUCACCGCGAUCAUGGAAUGCACACGCACCAUCUCGGUGUACCUCAACACCUGUGUGCUCUCAACGUCAGCCUGCAGGCUUCCCUUUUGGCAUGUCUUGAAACACGGACCAAGGAGUUUGACAUACGUGUGAGUCAAUGGGCUAGAAAACUCAUAAGACGCAAGGAAUAUGAUUGGUUAGAUCCCUCGCGGGUGCACCACCAACCGACCUUGAUCUUCUGAGAAGGGUUCGAGGGUGAGCAUGCCCAUCGAGACCCGAAAGAUGGUGAACUAUACCUGAGCGGGGUAAAGCUAAAGGAAACUCUAGUGGAGGCCCGCAGCGAUACUGAUGUGUAAAUCAUUCGUCUAACUUAGGCAUAGGGUCGAGAGACUAAUUGAACCGUCUAGUAUCUGGUUCCCUCUGAAGUUUCCCUCAGGAUAGUUGGAGCCCCCGGUGAGUUCUACCAGGUAAGCAAAUGAUUAGAGGCAUCGAGGGCACAAUGCCCUCGACCUAUUCUCAAACUUUAAAUAGGUUGUACGACACGAUUGCUUCAUUGAGUCACACCAUGGAAUCGAGAGCUCCAAGUGGGCCAUUUUUGGUAAGAAGAAUUGGUGAUGUGGGAUGAACCGAAAGCUAGGUUACGGUGCCCAACUACACGCUAACCCAAAACCCACAAUGGGUGUUGGUCGAUUAAGAUAGCAACGGUGGUCAUGGAAGUCGAAAUCCACUAAAAAGUGUGAAACAACUCACCUGUCGAAUCAACUAGCCUCGAAAAUGGAUGGCGCUUAAGCACGUGACCUAUACCUGAUCGUUGGGGCAAGGGCAGGCCUCGAUGAGUAGAAGGGCAUGACGGUCAUCGUAAAACCUAGGGUGUAAGCUCAAGUGGAGUGGCCAUCAGUGCAGAUCUUGGUGGUAGUAGCAAAUAUUCAAAUGAGAACUUUGAAUGCCGAAGAGGGGAAAGGUUCCAUGUGAAGGGCACUUGCACAUGGGUUAGUUGAUCCUAAGAGACAGGGGAAGCCCAUUCGACAGUGUGUCCCGUGCGAGCUUCGAAAGAGAAUCAGCUUAAAAUUUUAGAAUCGAGAUGCGGUGACUGACAGUAAUGUUAGAGAGUCCAAAAACAUUAGUAGGGGCCUCGAGAAGAGUUAUCUUUUUUGUUUAACAGCUCGCCUACCUUGGAAACCGCUCAGUCGAAGGUAGGGUCCAAUGAUCGAAAGAGCAUCGUAUGUCACGUGGUGUUUGGUGCACCCUCGAUGACCAUUGAAAAUCUAGAGGACCGAGUGCCAUCCACACCUGAUCAUACUCAUAAUCGAAUCAUGUCUCCAAGGUGAACAGCCUCUGGUCGAUGGAACAAUGUAGGCAAAAAAAGUCGGUGAAAUGGAUCUGUAACCUCGAGAAAAUGAUUGGCUCUGAGGGUUGGGCAUGGGGGUCCCAGUCUUGAACCCGUCAGCUACUGGUGCACUGCUUAAGCUAUUCUCAUGAUGAAAGGGGGUCACCGCGUGUCAGUCGAGGGACGGAUUGGGAACGGCUCCUUGAGGGCCUUCCCCGAGUGACUAACAGUCAACUCAAAACUAGUACGAACAAGGGGAAUCUGAAUGUUUAAUUAAAACAAAGCAUUGCAAUGGUCCCUGUGGAUGCUCACGCAAUGUGAUUUCUACCAGUGCUCUGAAUGUCAAAGUGAAGAAAUUUAAUCAAGCGCGAGUAAAUGGUGGGAGUAACUAUGACUCUCUUAAGGUAGCCAAAUGCCUCGUCAUCUAAUUAGUGAUGCACAUGAAUGGAUUAACGAGAUUCCCACUGUCCCUAUCUACUAUCCAGCAAACCAUAACCAAAGGAAUGGGCUUGGUAAAAUCAACAGGGAAAAAAGACCCUGUUGAGCUUGACUCUAGUCUGAUUUAGUGAAAUGACUUUAGAGGUGUAGGAUAAGUGGGAGCCCCUAGGCGAAAUUGCAAUACCACUACUUUUAACGUUAUUUUAUUUAUUUCAUGAAUUGGAGACAAGGCCCCUUCUUUUGGACCCAAGGUUGGCCUCAGUCGAUCGAUUCAAGAGGAACACAUUGUCAGGUGAAGAGUUUGGCUAGGGUGGCACAUCUAUUAAAAGAUAACACAGGUGUCCUAAGAUGAGCUCAAUGAGAAUAAAAAUCUCAUAUGAAACAAAAGGGUAAAAGCUCGUUUGAUUCUGAUUUCUAGUACGAAUACGAACCAUGAAAGCAUGGCCUAUCGAUCCUUUAGACCUUCGAGAUUUGAAGCUAGAGGUGUCAAAAAAGUUACCAUAGGGAUAACUGGCUUGUGCCAGCUAAGUGUUCAUACCGACGUUGCUUUUUGAUCCUUUGAUGUUGGCUCUUUCUAUCAUUAUGAAGUAGAAUUAUCCAAGUGUUGGAUUGUUCACCCACCAAUAGGGAAUGUGAGCUGGGUUUAGACUAUCAUGAGAUAGGUUAGUUUUACCUUACUGAUGGUGGCGUCACGAUAGUAAUUCAACAUAGUACGAGAGGAACCGUUGCUUCGCACAAUUGGUCAUCACGCUUGGUUGAAAAGCUAGUGGUGCGAAGCUACUGUGCACGAGAUUAUGACUGAAUGCCUCUAAGUCAAAAUUUAGGCAAAAAAUGACAUGCGCCCCUAUCGCCCGAUUGUCAACCCGUAGUAAGGGCCCAUGGCCCUGAAGGGGAUGUGUCGUAGGUGUAGCCCUCACAUUGGACGAGCCGCGUGAGCCUCUUUGAAGCUCAAUUCCCAUCGAGCAGUGGGUAGAAUCCUUUGCAGAUGACUUAAAUAUGUGAUGGGGUAUUGUAAGAGGCAGAAUGGCCUUGCUGCCAUGAUCCAUUGAGAUUCAGCCCUUUGUCGCUUCGAUUCAU